RNAcentral lists this ribosomal RNA (447 nucleotides) under uncultured bacterium. RNAcentral's name for it is "partial 16S ribosomal RNA". It matches the Rfam family "Bacterial small subunit ribosomal RNA", at positions 29 to 523 of the family's 1533-position model. The record is from RNAcentral.
AACGAACGCUGGCGGCAGGCUUAACACAUGCAAGUCGAACGCCCCGCAAGGGGAGUGGCAGACGGGUGAGUAACGCGUGGGAAUCUACCUAGUUCUACGGAACAACAGUUGGAAACGACUGCUAGUACCGUAUACGCCCUACGGGGGAAAGAUUCAUCGGAAUUAGAUGAGCCCGCGUAAGAUUAGCUAGUUGGUGGGGUAAUGGCCUACCAAGGCGACGAUCUUUAGCUGGUCUGAGAGGAUGAUCAGCCACACUGGGACUGAGACACGGCCCAGACUCCUACGGGAGGCAGCAGUGGGGAAUAUUGGACAAUGGGCGCAAGCCUGAUCCAGCCAUGCCGCGUGAGUGAUGAAGGCCUUAGGGUUGUAAAGCUCUUUCACCGAUGAAGAUAAUGACGGUAGUCGGAGAAGAAGCCCCGGCUAACUUCGUGCCAGCAGCCGCCGCAG